GACGAACGCUGGCGGCGUGCUUAACACAUGCAAGUCGAACGGAAAGACCCUGCUCUGGUGGGGUGCUCGAGUGGCGAACGGGUGAGUAACACGUGAGAAACCUGCCCUUGACUUUGGGAGAACUUCAGGAAACUGGGGCAAAUACCGGACAGGAGCUCCUGCUGCAUGGUGGGGGUUGGAAAGUUUCGGCGGUUGGGGAUGGACUCGCGGCUUAUCAGCUUGUUGGUGGGGUAGUGGCUUACCAAGGCUUUGACGGGUAGCCGGCCUGAGAGGGUGACCGGCCACAUUGGGACUGAGAUACGGCCCAGACUCCUACGGGAGGCAGCAGUGGGGAAUAUUGCACAAUGGGCGGAAGCCUGAUGCAGCGACGCCGCGUGCGGGAUGACGGCCUUCGGGUUGUAAACCGCUUUCGCCUGUGACGAGGCGUGAGUGACGGUACUGGGUAAAGAAGCCCCGGCUAACUACGUG
This 468-nucleotide ribosomal RNA is filed under the name uncultured bacterium. RNAcentral's name for it is "partial 16S ribosomal RNA". It matches the Rfam family "Bacterial small subunit ribosomal RNA", at positions 28 to 507 of the family's 1533-position model. The record is from RNAcentral.